GACGGAGGGUGCGAGCGUUAUUCGGAAUCAUUGGGCGUAAAGAGUGUGUAGGCGGCCGGUUAAGUCAGGCGUGAAAGCCCAGGGCUCAACCCUGGAAGUGCGUUUGAAACUGGCUGGCUUGAGUUCGGGAGAGGGAAGCGGAAUUCCUGGUGUAGAGGUGAAAUUCGUAGAUAUCAGGAGGAACAUCGGUGGCGAAGGCGGGUUCCUGGACCGAAACUGACGCUGAGACACCAUAGCGUGGGGCGCGAACAGG
Molecule: ribosomal RNA, 253 nt
Filed under: uncultured bacterium
Lineage: Bacteria
Description: partial 16S ribosomal RNA
Rfam family: Bacterial small subunit ribosomal RNA
Source: RNAcentral